CUUAGUGGAUAUUUAAUUUGUUAUUUACUCUGUGGUUGUGUUAAUGGUAUUGAAAAUUUUACGUUUUCUCUUAGUUUCUGUCUAAGAGAAAACAAAAAUUUACAACUCAUGUUUUACAAAUUUAUCUGAAAUGAUUUAGUUACACGAGAUAGUUUGUAUAUAUUUAUUAUUCAAAAAUUAAAUUCCUGAUCAUAGUUUGAAAUUUUAUUUUCUUCAUUAUGAGUGCAGAAACACCUGAUCAGUUUGACCAAUUUGAUGAUGAAGACGGAGAUCAACAGUUGGGAGCAACAGCUUCUGGUAGGAAAAGAUUGUUCAGCAAAGAGCUUCGUUGCAUGAUGUAUGGUUUUGGUGAUGACCAGAAUCCGUAUACUGAAAGUGUUGAUUUCUUAGAAGACCUUGUCAUAGAGUUUAUAACUGAGACUACCCACAGAGCUAUGGAAGUUGGUAGACCCGGCAGAGUUCAAGUUGAAGAUAUCAUAUUUUUAGUUCGCAAAGAUCAUAGAAAAUAUGCUAGAGUCAAGGACCUAUUGACAAUGAAUGAAGAGCUGAAAAAAGCUAGAAAAGCUUUUGAUGAAGUCAAGUAUGUUGAAGACCAACAAUAAGUUUGGUGGUCAAACAACAUCAUGCUCUCAGACUGAUAAUGAAAAUGUGGAUACUAAAGGUCUAUGAGAUUGAUUUUGUGAAGGUCUAUGAUUUUUGCUUGACAAUGUAAUACAAAUACUACUUGCUUAGAAAAUACAUUCCUAAAUAACCUUCAAA
Nymphalis io (European peacock) is the source of this 759-nucleotide RNA transcript. It is a transcript of the gene named transcription initiation factor TFIID subunit 13, with no coding region annotated. The transcript has 6 exons. The record is from RefSeq and is a predicted model, not a curated record. Lineage: Eukaryota; Metazoa; Arthropoda; Insecta; Lepidoptera; Nymphalidae.